AGUGAACGCUGGCGGUAGGCCUAACACAUGCGAGUCGAACGGCAGCACAGUAAGAGCUUGCUCUUACGGGUGGCGAGUGGCGGACGGGUGAGGAAUACAUCGGAAUCUACUUUUUCGUGGGGGAUAACGUAGGGAAACUUACGCUAAUACCGCAUACGACCUACGGGUGAAAGCAGGGGAUCUUCGGACCUUGCGCGAUUGAAUGAGCCGAUGUCGGAUUAGCUAGUUGGCGGGGUAAAGGCCCACCAAGGCGACGAUCCGUAGCUGGUCUGAGAGGAUGAUUAGGCACCAUGGAAAUGAGAAAAGGUCCCGAACCCUAAGGGAGGCCGGCGUGGGGAAUAUUGGAACAUGGGCGCCAGCCUGAUCCAGCCAUACCGCGUGGGUGAAGAAGGCCUUCGGGUUGUAAAGCCCUUUUGUUGGGAAAGAAAAGCAGCAGGUUAAUACCCCGCUGUUCUGACGGUACCCAAAGAAUAAGCACCGGCUAACUUCGUG
RNAcentral lists this ribosomal RNA (492 nucleotides) under uncultured bacterium. Its description in RNAcentral is "partial 16S ribosomal RNA". It matches the Rfam family "Bacterial small subunit ribosomal RNA", at positions 29 to 507 of the family's 1533-position model. The record is from RNAcentral.